GACGAACGCUGGCGGCGUGCUUAACACGUACAAGUCGAACGGGAUCCAUGUUGUAGCAAUACUUCGGAAGAUCUAGUGGCGAACGGGUGAGGAACACGUGAGAAACCUGCCCCGAACUUCGGGAUAACAGUUGGAAACGAUUGCUAAUACCGAAUACCUCUGCGAAGUGGCAUCACUUUGCAAAGAAAGAAUUUCGGUUCGGGAGGGUCUCGCGGCCUAUCAGCUAGUUGGUGGGGUAACGGCCUACCAAGGCAUCGACGGGUAGCUGGUCUGAGAGGAUGAUCAGCCACACUGGGACUGAGACACGGCCCAGACUCCUACGGGAGGCAGCAGUGGGGAAUCUUGUGCAAUGGGCGAAAGCCUGACACAGCAACGCCGCGUGCGGGAAGAAGGCCUUCGGGUCGUAAACCGCUUUCAGCAGGAACGAAAAUGACGGUACCUGCAGAAGAAGGUGCGGCCAACUACGUGCCAGCCGCCGCAGUAA
Molecule: ribosomal RNA, 484 nt
Filed under: uncultured bacterium
Lineage: Bacteria
Description: partial 16S ribosomal RNA
Rfam family: Bacterial small subunit ribosomal RNA
Source: RNAcentral